Molecule: non-coding RNA, 1240 nt
Organism: Lolium perenne
Lineage: Eukaryota; Viridiplantae; Streptophyta; Magnoliopsida; Poales; Poaceae
Source: RefSeq, a predicted model, not a curated record
CGCCCUCGUCACACUUUCUCGCGGUAGCCUCUCCACUAAGAAUCCACGGGAGGAGUACAACAGGUGGAUUAUGGUGGUCACGGCGGCUGCCGGACGACGGCAGUUGGUGGACGAAUGCAGCCUCACAGCUCGUUUUGUUAUCGCGUUGAGGAGGCAGUGGUGGAGGCAGAGGUGCGGUGUUUUUGUUGAUGGAUCAAGGACGACCGCUUCCUCAACCUCCCUGCGAUGCAGUGUAUGGACCACUACAUGUUCUGUUGACGCAAGACUGGUCCGCCGGCGCUUCUGGCCUCCCAACCAGGAUUCUCUUCCACCGGGAGGCCAGUGAAGCUAGAGCGGAGUGGUGGAUAUGUGGCUUAGCUUUUCGUCAAUGGCAUGCUCUGCUUGAGCUCGAAGAGUACUAGCUGAAGGAACUGCGAUGAAACUCUGGCAGAGCAAUUAAAGAAACAGAUUUCAGCUUCCUAAUGGAUGACAUUUGGCUUAUGAAGUAAAAAAGAUAUCCAGCUGGCAGGGCAAUAUUUUGGUUGAUCUCAUUCUCUUCUUUCGUCAAGGCUAGGAGACACUUUCCGCAAGGUGCUAAAUAAGUGAAAAACUGGCAUCUAGCCCCCCCCCCCCAACAAUGUUCUUCCAGCUCAAAGUUUUGAAAUUGUGAUGUGAUGUAGCAGAAAGGAAUGAUCUGUGGAUGACUGUAUGGCUUGCAAGAGACUGAGAUUGUCACACCAUGAGAGUAUGCAAAGGUCCUCCAUUCUGAUGAGAAAUUUGACAUUGCAAGAGCCAACGAUAUCUGAAUUGAGUGUUCUAAUAUUGCACAACAGUAAAUCUCAAAGGAUGAAGUUGGUUAUAGUACAGGAGAGAAAUUUCUUCAUAGCAAUGACCAUCAGACCACCACUAGCAGGGACCAGCCAGAGAUAAUGGUAGAAGGAUACAAAUGCUUAUAAGUAACCAAUGGAGACUUGUGUUGCCUCAAAAGAAUGGGCAUGGAUGGGAAACUGCUUUUGGUCAAUGGAAAGCAUGUGUUAUCCUCAAAACGGAGCUCAAGGAUGGGGAUAUAGUUGAGUUCGGAGUUGCAGUUUUCUCAAAAUAUUACUUCGUAUUUUAGGAGGCUUGCUCCAGAAGUUGUAACAAUUAUUUGGGAAUGCAAGAGACUGAAGAUCUGUAUAUGUAGUGAUGAAGAGAAAAAUCCUCAAAUGUGGUAUAUUUGUGGAAAAUAACCAAAGAAGGCAGGAUAUGUUAUUUUAGAAAA